This is a small nuclear RNA of Vulpes vulpes (red fox), 150 nucleotides long. Its record names the gene U1. It matches the Rfam family "U1 spliceosomal RNA". Rfam says of the family: U1 is a small nuclear RNA (snRNA) component of the spliceosome (involved in pre-mRNA splicing). The record is from Ensembl. Lineage: Eukaryota; Metazoa; Chordata; Mammalia; Carnivora; Canidae.
AUAAACACUUGGCCACGGAGAUACCAAGAUCACCUCCCAGGGUGAGGCCCAUCCAUUGCACUCACGUUGUGUUGACCUCUGUAAGUUUCCCAAAUGUGGGGAACUUGACUGCAUGAUUUCUGUUAGUGGGAGACUGUAUACAUGCUCGCU